UGUCCACACCUGUGUUUGCAGAGAACAAGGAAAACAUCUAUUUCAGAGCAGUUCUUAGUAUCGUCCCUGGCAUUUGGACAUACAGCAGCAGCCCUGUACUGAAGAGACUGGCUGUUUCUUACGGACCUAGAUGAGCAAGAAGAGACAGGACAUCUCAAAUGAGACCCGUUUUCCCACCGAAGUGGUGUUCAGAUGAUUUGAAGCCAGCCUCUGCCUGUUUGGAGACCCGACCUUCUUCUUGACCAGACUCAGAUAUUCCCCUGAGCUGCAAAAAGGCUUCUGGAGCUGACCAGAGCUGCCAGCUACAGGCAUGAGGUGUUAGAGCAGAUACUGGACCUAAUUCUACUCAGACCUCUCUCUUUCCAUCAAACUGGAUUGAAUCAGGUCAGCUGGUUCAGAAGUUAUUGGAGCGGGGGGACUGGCACACAGAGGGAUGAGCAGCACAAGGAGGUUCAUUGCUCUCUAAACCCUGGCUCAAAAAUAUGGCAGUUUUGGUGAAACAACGGGGCCCUAAUGUCAGAGCCUUCAACCUGGAAAUCAGGGCCUCGCCUCACCUCACAGGAACUGUUCAGAAGCAGUCAAUCCCUAACCUGAGUCACUUACAGCUGGAUGGAUCAAGAGUGGGAGAGAGGAAGAAGAAAUUAUCUCGGAGUUGCACAUAGGGAGAAAAAAGAAAGGCCAAGACCAGCAACUUACUGAGGAAUCCUGUGAGCAGGUUAGAGGGAGGCUCAGAUGUCCAGUGUCCCCAUCUAGGGCCCUAAGCAAAACCCACCUCAGCUUCUUCUUGCUUCAUCACCCAGGCAGAAUUCACCCUUUCCUGGGCAUUUUGCUCUGAUUCACUGCCCCCAGGAGCUGAGUCAGUCUUACCCACGCUUCUCCUUUGGCAGCUCAGACCACAUGGUGAGCUGAGAUUCGGCAACGUCUGCGGUUGCUGGUGACUGCUUCCCAGGUGAUUCUAGUGAGAGUGAGCAGGGGUGACAGGACAGAGAAGUAACAGAAGCCUGGAGGGAGCCACCGGUGAGUGUCUAUGCAAAACACCGAUCCUUGUGUCAUCUUCAGAGUCAGACAUAGGAAGCAGUUUCUUAGCAGCAAAACUGGACCUUAUGGAAGUGGCUCAGUCACAGUUUUCACGCCAAGCUAUAAUUUAUGAGUCCAAAAAUCAGAGACUGUAAACUGAACGGCAACAAGGGAAUUAGCCAGGUUCCCCAAAGAUGGAUGUUUUUGCUCUUCUGCCAGGAGGUAGCUCCUUUAGUGGAUGGACCUUUAGAAAAUUAGGCUGAGCAGCCUCUGAGUGAUAAAGCAGGGUCCGAAGCAUAUUAAAGCAUGUGUAAGCACUGACACCUACUAGGGACACUGAGGCAGCAUUGCAGAAGAGGAAGAAUCCUGGACAUGCUUAUCUUGACCUAAGAGUGGCUUAUAUCCCACCUAGCACCUCGGUCUGCUCUCUGAGCUGUCAGAAGUUAUUCCUAGAUGAGUUGUUAUGGUAACUGAGCUAAUGCCCCGAGAUAGAUGUUUUCAGGUGGCUCCAGGCCAAAAAAUCAACACCAAGAGAUUCCAGAUAAUAGACUUCUGCUAAAUUCAGUGCUGGCAUCUACUUUAUUUAACCUAUUCACCAAUGACUUACUGAACUCCAUUCUCCGGGCAAGCCAUAUGUGGUGACAAUAGCUGCUUGACCUCAAUGAACCUUGUCUUUCAAAAGACUGAGGGGAUCCUGUGUGCUCUGGCUGGGUCUGUGCCAGUAAAUUAAAUGUGCCUGGGACUUUCCUCUGCAGUGAGAAGACAGCUGGCACAGAAUGGCCAUUGUUUUCAUAACAAAUUCUUACCCUCCAAACCUGCGUGGUCACAUCCAGAUGGACCAUAAAGAAGAGUCUUUGACCCAUGCUAGCUCCUGAAAUGCAUCUGGACUGGACCAAGCUGCAGAGCAAUACUCGAGCAGUGUAACAGAGAGCAGCCCUGGCACUGGUUAAUUUAUUAGUACAGACCUUGUCUGACUGACUGCAGUCACACAUAAGAAAGGAGCCUGAAACCAGGUGUGAAGGCUCUGACAAUGUGCUUAUGCUCAUACCAUGUCCUGAGCCAGCUGGAGCUGUGCGUCCUUAGGAACAGUCAGUGACAGGCACACGGUGUGUUAAGGAAUCGCUCUGGAUCACCCAUUUCUAUCCUCUAUUUGAAAUAGCUCAUGAGACCACAGAGAGAAAGGCUCCCAUGGGUUAAACAAGUGGAUUUGCCCCUGAGGAUACCCCUCCACCUUGUAUCUGACAUGGAAAUUAGCAGCAGGGGGGCAGAGGAUGCCCUAUGCCCACCAGCCAGCCCUGCUGGUGACUGCACCACAGAAGGCCUCUUCAGGCAGCGCUCCGCAACCUGCAGCAGGCAGAGAGCACUCGGGCAGCUCCGACAAACCUCAGGGAGAGUCGUGCCACUUCCAGAAACUCCCACAUCACCACCAGACCAGCCGAGCAGCUACCUGGCUCUGGGGCCCUGCGCCUGCCGCCUCCGGAGCAAGCCAAACAGGUUCCACCAUGGCGUGGUCCGCAGUGCCAGCACCGAUCACACCCCGGGCAUUUGGGACAGCCUGCUGCAUGCCCUCGUGGAUGUUGUUGCAUCUCUGUUGGGUGGCUGCUUUUUUUCAUGUCGAGUCUCCCUGGUGGUCUCCUUGCUUUGGACACCAGUAGCUCGAACACCACAGGCUGGCCCGAGGCCUCUGAGCUUGGGGGGUUCUACCUCUGCUCACCCUUUGGCAUUUCACGCCUUGUUUUGCCCACUCGUGAGCUGUGUUAUUGCAAUAUGCAGCUCUCUAGGGCAGAAACUGUUUUCCCGCAUGUUCUUUGCUAGGCUUCCACUGCAACAGGAUUGCAAUCUUAAUCAGCGCAGCAGUAAUGUGAUUAAGAAGCUGCUGCACAAGUGGGAAUUGCAGCCUCAGUGGAUGUGAUUUUCCUGGUUCUGGCCUGCCUGGGUGUUUCCCCAGGAUGAGAGGUCAUGUUGACUGAACUCCAAAAUGGCUUGCCUGAACUUUUGAAUACUGAGGUCCAAAUAAAUUUUCAGCAUUAGCUGGUAUGCUGAUCCCUUUCCUGCCAAGCUGCAGCCUUAAGUGAUUUUUUAUGGCUAAGUUAUAAACCCCAGAAAACACGAGCAAGAAGUGGAAAUGCUGACUUGGCCGUUGCUAAAUGCCAAUUAUCUACAAAGGCAUUAAGGGUGGGGGGUUGAAAAAUAGGGUCAUUUUCAUGUUUUCUCUGGUUCAAAGUAAACUGUCCCGUGAGCCCCUUAUAGGAACACACAGCAUACAGAGUGACCAUUAAUAUUUAUAGGCACGACACCAAGAUGCAGACCUUGGCAAUCAGAGCAACUCCACUUUUGGAAUUAAUAUAGCUCUGCUUGGCUGGCCUCUCAGUGCAAAAUACUAAGUAGGGACACCAAGAUUUUCAGGGAGAAGUUAAGAAGUAGAUGAUGACCUUCAAUGGCGAGGGUCCAUACUUCACUGAG
This is a non-coding RNA of Anas platyrhynchos (mallard), 3480 nucleotides long. NCBI's taxonomy places the organism in Eukaryota, Metazoa, Chordata, Aves, Anseriformes, Anatidae. The record is from RefSeq and is a predicted model, not a curated record.